AGAGUUUGAUCAUGGCUCAGAACGUACGCUGGCGGCACGCCUAAUACAUGCAAGUCGAACGAAGUAGCAAUACUUAGUGGCAGACGGGUGAGUAACAUGUGGGUAUCUUCCCUUUGGUGAGGAAUAACACGAGGAAACUUGUGCUAAUACCUCAUAAGUCUUUACGGAGAAAGCUUUAUGCGCCAAUGGAUGAGCCCGCACUUGAUUAGUUUGUUGGUAGGGUAAUGGCCUACCAAGACUGUGAUCAAUAGCUGAUUUGAGAGGAUGAUCAGCCACAUUGGGACUGAGACACGGCCCAAACUCCUACGGGAGGCAGCAGUAGGGAAUCUUGCACAAUGGAGGAAACUCUGAUGCAGCGAUGCCGCGUGAGUGAAGAAGGCCCUUGGGUUGUAAAGCUCUUUCGUCGGGGAAGAAAA
This 416-nucleotide ribosomal RNA is filed under the name uncultured bacterium. RNAcentral's name for it is "bacterial SSU rRNA". It matches the Rfam family "Bacterial small subunit ribosomal RNA", at positions 8 to 451 of the family's 1533-position model. The record is from RNAcentral.